AGCCACGCCCCCACACGCUGCGCGUGAGGCGGGGCUAAGGGGGCAAAACCCCGAAGGAAGGGAGUUCGAAAACAGAAAAGCGGGCGGGUGUUCCAGGGAGUUCAACGGGCAGGUGAUGCAAAGGGAGGCUGGAGACUCGGCGUAAUCCGUGCAAUAGGGGGGCAGCUGCUGUUCUGUGGAAUUGGCUUCUCUUUCCCUCCUUGCAAAGCAGAAAAUGGUUGUAUUUAUUUAAAUACGGGCAAUUGGAGGUUUGAAUUUCAGCAAUGUGUUGCAAAAGCAAACCGACUAUAGGGGCAGUGAUUCUGGAUGCAAUCUUAAAUGGUGCCUAGGAGCUGGUUGAAUAAAUAUGGGUGUGCAGUUUUAAGUGCGCAGAACGUUUCUUUUUUCACCAGGCCUUUGGUUCUUAAUUAUCUGCGGCCUCCUUGAGUGGAGUUGGAAGAGACCACAAGGGGCAUCCAGUCCAACCCCCUGCCACACCAUCAAAGCAUUAUUGACAUAUGCCUGUCAAGCCUCUGCUUAAAGACCUCCAAAGAAGGAGACUCCACCACACUCCUUGGCAGCAAGUUCCACUGCUGAACAACAUUGGAAGGUAGAAGUUGAACCUUGAACGAGAUGCAAAAAAUACAGCAGCAGGCUGGCUGAGACUCUACCUGCCCGCGGACUGUCUCGCCAGAGUGGUGUAUGCUCUAGUUAUCUCUCGCUUGGAUUACUGCAAUGCGCUCUAUGUGACCCGGAAACUGCAACUAAUCCAAAAUGCGGCAGCUAGACUAGUGACUGGGAGCGGCCGCUGAGACCACAUAACACCGGUCCUGAAAGACCUACAUUGGUUCCCAGUACGUUUCCGAGCACAAUUCAAAGUGUUGGUGCUGACCUUUAAAGCCCUAAAUGGCCUCAAGGGCUCCAGUAUACCUGAAGGAGCGUCUCCACCCCCAUUGCUCUGUCCGGACACUGAGGCCCGGUGCCGAGGGCCUUCUGGUGGUUCCUUCACUACGAGAAGCCAAGCUACAGUGAACCAGGCAGAGGGCCUUCUCGGUAGUGGCACCUGCCCUGUGGAACGCCCUCCCACCAGAUGUCAAAGAGAAAAACAACUACCAGACUUUUAGAAGACAUCUGAAGGAAGCCCUGUUUAGGGAAGCUUUUAAUGUUUAAUAGAUUAUUUUAUUAUUAUUAUUAUUAUUAUUAUUAUUAUUAUUAUUAUUAUUAUUAUUACCCUGUCCACCUGGCUGGGUUUCUUCCAAGAAAAGAUUAAAAAUACAUUAAAACAUUAAAAAUGCUGCAGAUAAAGAAAAUUAAUGGUGCAGAAAUUUGUGCAUACGCAACUACGAAGCCAUGCUAUGAACACAAUUCACCCACCUAUAUCUCCUUGUGCAUUGAGAUCAAAGUCCAUGUAUUUCUCUGGGUGGGGGAAAGAAAAGACAAAACGAACAGGUUAACGUAAGUGCUCAAUAGCCGCCUUGCUAAAUUGGACGCAAAGUCUUUCUAGUCCAAAAUAACCCCCUCUCCAACUAUGGCCAGCUACGUACCCCUAUGAAGGUCACAAACAGGGUGCAAUGAAAGGACUCUGUCUUCAUGGCCGGUUCCCAGCAUCUAGUACUACAAGGUAUACUGCGACUAAAUAUGGAGGUUCUAGUCUUAGCUCUCCAAAAGCGGUUACUAGAUAUACCGGUAUGCUCAACAGGCCUGCCUCAUUCUUUUCUUUCUCUUUAAAAAGAUAAAUUUUAUUUCAUACAAUUGAUACACAAGCUACGUAUUAAAAAUCUCUUUUUUUAAAAUAUACCAACAAUUGAUUUCACAACUUAUAUAAAAUCAAACCAUUUUACUAUUAGAGAACCAGAAAAAAUAUUAAUAGGUAUAAAUGUAAGCAGGACUUAAUAAAGUUGCAAGUUGUUUUAAACUUGCUUUUCAAUAUUGUGUUUUAAUGUUGGAACCUGCCCUUGGACCUUAGUGUGAAGGUAAAAUAAUAAUAAUAAUUAAUAAUAGCAAUUAAUGAAGGGUGCAGAUACUUUGUCUGGUGUCAGACUUGUGCUUCUUUUUGUUUAAAGCUUUCUACUUUUCUUUAAAUGUGUUGAUUUCAUUCCUUCAUAACUACAUAUAAUUAAUUCCCUGCCCUGAAAUUCCCAAAGCUUGUAAUAUGCAGGAAUGAAUUACCAGCUUCCACUUCCAUAAACCUCUCUCCUUCCUUGCAUUGCUGCUACUUCAGUGUUUCUCAACCUUUUUUGGGCCAUGGCACACUUGUUCCGUGAAAAAAAUCACGAGGCACACCACCAUUAAAAAAGUUUAAAAAAUUAACUCUGUGCCGCCCUAUAUUAUAAUUAUGACUGUAAGAAACACUUGCCAAAUAUUGCUUUCCGGCGGGUCAGUGUAGUGAAUUGGCGGCUGCCAGGCUCGUUUGCACUGAGCUUUGGGAAAGAGGAGGAGAAAUAUUGCUUUCCGGCGGGUUAGUGAUGUAUAUUGGCGGCCGCCAGGCACGUGACAAUGCAAAUCGCCCUUCUCGUCGCCGCACGUCGCGGCACACACACCAGCCAGCGUCUCGCGGCACACUAGUGUGCCGCGGGAACAGCGGUUAAGAAACGCUGUGCUACUUUAACAAUGUUCAACUGUUCCCUUACCUUCCUUAUCACAUCUAAUUUAUUAGGCUACUGAUCUUAACCCCCCCCCCACGCCCUUGCAUAGUCAUUGAUGGAUGCUAUUGUUUAUCAACUAUGUAUAUUGUGAUGGUUCACUUUAAAUUUUUGAUUAUUCUGUUAUAGGUAUAUUUAAUAAUCAGUUUUUGUGAAAGUUUCCCUAAACACAGAACUACAUUUUCCAGAGUGGCUUAUCAACCAAUCCCACUUCCCAGGGAACUCUGGGAAUUGUAUCUCUGUGUGGAAUAGCGCGCAGUUCCCAAACAAUUCAUGGCACCUUUAGCAAACUACCUUUCCCAGAAUUCUUUGGGGGAAGCCAUGAAUUUUUAAAGCGAUGUGACAUUGCUUUACAUGUACGGUGCAGAUGUAAAGUACAUACAGUGGAACCUCAGUUUUCGAACAUAAUCUGUUCCAGAAGACCGUUUGACUUCCGAAAUGUUCGAAAACCGAAAAUCAAAGGGCUGUCGGCAAUUUCAGUGUGGGGGAAAGAGGAACACGUGUUAUGUACUGAGCUGAAUCCUAGAACAAUAGGAUCCAGAAUCAGCAGUCUGAUUGGUCCGCAGGAGCCACCCAAUCCAACUCCAGGUGGAAGUGAAUCAGCAAUGUGAUUGGCCUGCGGGAGCAGCCAAUCAGGCUGCAGGCAGAAGUCAAUCCACAACCUGAUUGGCCCACAGGUGUAGCCCUGUAGUAGCCAAUCACGCAAGGCCCAUUGUGUAAAUAAUGUAUAUAAGCAGAUGGUUUGGGGAAAAGAGCCAUUCUUAUUUUCUUCUCCUUGAUGACUACGAGCUGAAUAAGGAGCAUGAAAUUCACUCUCGACUACGAGUAUAUUUCUACACGCUUCGGAAGCCGUUCUGAAAAACAUCCGAAAACCGGAACACACACUUCCGGGUUUUCGGCGUUCGGGAGCCGAAAUGCUCAGCGACAGAACCGUUUGAGAACCGAGGUUUGACUGAAAUGGAAGAAGGAAGUCUAAAAUGGACCAGCCCCAACUGCCUCCAGGGAAGGAAAGCUCAACACUGCCUUACAAGGCGCUGAACAGUUCAUAUGAUUGAGACAUUAAUUUCUCCUCUGGCUACAGUGAUGCAGCUAUUGCCAAAGUUUAGCCCCCUGCCCCGUCCAAAGCACCCCCAACUGACUCCUCUGAGAGUGCUAGGUGAUGGGGGCUUGGGAAUCGGCAAACAGGCCUGGGGUCUGCAUUCCUUUUUUUUAAUUUUCUUUUAAAAAUAUUUCUUAGUUUGGGCAGCUGGCUGGGCAAGCACGUGGUUAUGAAAUGAACAAGCAAAACCAGUUUGACACCCAGAUUUUGCAUCCUUAUUAAAAAAUUUCUUUGUUUACAAAA
This is a non-coding RNA of Zootoca vivipara (common lizard), 3963 nucleotides long. The record is from RefSeq and is a predicted model, not a curated record. NCBI's taxonomy places the organism in Eukaryota, Metazoa, Chordata, Lepidosauria, Squamata, Lacertidae.